This is a long non-coding RNA of Arabidopsis thaliana (thale cress), 317 nucleotides long. RefSeq annotates it as other RNA. The transcript has a single exon. NCBI's taxonomy places the organism in Eukaryota, Viridiplantae, Streptophyta, Magnoliopsida, Brassicales, Brassicaceae. The record is from RefSeq.
CGCACUAGUCUCCAUCCACUAUAUAUAUAUUUAAUUCGACAGUACUCACUCUCUAUUUGUGAGUGUGCACGCGGACGUGUACAUGUCGUAGUAAAACGGUACAUAUGGUGCAAAUGGUGGGUCACUCUCAACACUAUUGUAAAGCUUUCUUGUGUGUGCAUGUGUCAACAACUGGCUAGUUCUAAUAAAUCUACGUCGAAUUCAAUAUUAAUCAAGUUUCUAUUUAUGAAUGUAUAUAUAUUAUAUAUAGCGAUGAAUGAUAUAUUGCUGAAAGGCAAUAAUUCAGAUGAAAGUGUUAAUUAAUUUGAGAAAACGAU